This 676-nucleotide ribosomal RNA is filed under the name uncultured bacterium. RNAcentral describes it as "bacterial SSU rRNA". It matches the Rfam family "Bacterial small subunit ribosomal RNA", at positions 8 to 694 of the family's 1533-position model. The record is from RNAcentral.
AGAGUUUGAUCCUGGCUCAGGACGAACGCUGGCGGUGUGCUUCACACAUGCAAGUCGAGCGAAUGAAGUAGGUAGCUUGCUACUUAUGGAUUUAGCGGCGGACGGGUGAGUAAUAUAUAGGAAUCUGCCUUAGAGCGGGGAACAACAGACCGAAAGGUUUGCUAAUGCCCCAUAGGUAUGCAGUCUUCGGAUUGUAUAUUAAAGGAGUAAUCCACUCUAAGAUGAGCCUGUAUCCGAUUAGCUAGUUGGCGGGGUAAAGGCCCACCAAGGCUACGAUCGGUAGUUGGUCUGAGAGGAUGAUCAGCCACAAUGGGACUGAGACACGGCCCAUACUCCUACGGGAGGCAGCAGUGGGGAAUUUUACACAAUGGGGAAAACCCUGAUGUAGCGACACCGCGUGAACGAAGAAGCCUUUUGGGGUGUAAAGUUCUGUCGGCUGGAACGAAAAAAAUGACGGUACCAGCAAAGGAAGCAUCGGCUAACUACGUGCCAGCAGCCGCGGUAAGACGUGGGAUGCAAGCGUUGUCCGGAUUUAUUGGGCGUAAAGAGUUCGUAGGCGGUUAUUUAAGUCUGAUGUUAAAUACUGUGGCCCAACCACAGAACUGCAUUGGAUACUGGAUGACUUGAGUGCGGUAGAGGCAAGUGGAAUUCCCAGUGUAGCGGUGAAAUGCGUAGA